CUACGGGUCGCUGCAGUAGGGAAUAUUGGACAAUGGGCGAAAGCCUGAUCCAGCAACACCGCGUGCACGAUGACGGCCUUCGGGUUGUAAAGUGCUUUUAGAGGAGAUGAGAAAGGACAGUAUCCUCUGAAUAAGCCUCGGCGAACUACGUGCCAGCAGCCGCGGUAAAACGUAGGAGGCAAGCGUUAUCCGGAUUUAUUGAGCGUAAAGCGCGUGCAGGCGGUCUAGCAAGUUGGAUGUGAAAGCUCCCGGCUCAACUGGGAGAGGUCGUUCAAUACUGUUAGACUAGAGAAUAGGAGAGGGACGUGGAAUUCCGGGUGUAGUGGUGAAAUGCGUAGAUAUCCGGAGGAACACCAGUGGCGAAAGCGGCCUCCUGGACUAUUUCUGACGCUAAGACGCGAAAGCUAGGGUAGCAAACGGGAUUAGAUACCCCUGUAGUC
RNAcentral lists this ribosomal RNA (440 nucleotides) under uncultured bacterium. RNAcentral's name for it is "partial 16S ribosomal RNA". It matches the Rfam family "Bacterial small subunit ribosomal RNA", at positions 339 to 795 of the family's 1533-position model. The record is from RNAcentral.